GAUGAACGCUGGCGGCGUGCUUAACACAUGCAAGUCGAACGAAGCACUUUAACCUGAUUCUUCUGAUGAAGGUUUUUGUGACUGAGUGGCGGACGGGUGAGUAACGCUUGGGUAACCUGCCUCAUACAGGGGGAUAACAGUUAGAAAUGACUGCUAAUACCGCAUAAGACCACAGAGCCGCAUGGCUCGGUGGGAAAAACUCCGGUGGUAUGAGAUGGACCCGCGUCUGAUUAGGUAGUUGGUGGGGUAACGGCCUACCAAGCCAACGAUCAGUAGCCGACCUGAGAGGGUGACCGGCCACAUUGGGACUGAGACCCGGCCCAAACUCCUACGGGAGGCAGCAGUGGGGAAUAUUGCACAAUGGGGGAAACCCUGAUGCAGCGACGCCGCGUGAGCGAAGAAGUAUUUCGGUAUGUAAAGCUCUAUCAGCAGGGAAGAAAAUGACGGUACCUGACUAAGAAGCACCGGCUAAAUACGUG
This 479-nucleotide ribosomal RNA is filed under the name uncultured bacterium. RNAcentral's name for it is "partial 16S ribosomal RNA". It matches the Rfam family "Bacterial small subunit ribosomal RNA", at positions 28 to 507 of the family's 1533-position model. The record is from RNAcentral.